This 440-nucleotide ribosomal RNA is filed under the name uncultured bacterium. Its description in RNAcentral is "partial 16S ribosomal RNA". It matches the Rfam family "Bacterial small subunit ribosomal RNA", at positions 338 to 795 of the family's 1533-position model. The record is from RNAcentral.
CCUACGGGUGGCAGCAGUAGGGAAUAUUGCUCAAUGGGGGAAACCCUGAAGCAGCAACGCCGCGUGGAGGAUGAAGGUUUUCGGAUUGUAAACUCCUUUUGUUAGAGAAGAUAAUGACGGUAUCUAACGAAUAAGCACCGGCUAACUCCGUGCCAGCAGCCGCGGUAAUACGGAGGGUGCAAGCGUUACUCGGAAUCACUGGGCGUAAAGAGCGCGUAGGCGGGAUAGCAAGUCAGAUGUGAAAUCCUAGGGCUUAACCAUAGAACUGCAUUUGAAACUGUUAUUCUAGAGUAUGGGAGAGGUAGGUGGAAUUCUUGGUGUAGGGGUAAAAUCCGUAGAGAUCAAGAAGAAUACUCAUUGCGAAGGCGACCUGCUAGAACAUAACUGACGCUGAGGCGCGAAAGCGUGGGGAGCAAACAGGAUUAGAUACCCUUGUAGUC